RNAcentral lists this ribosomal RNA (253 nucleotides) under uncultured bacterium. RNAcentral describes it as "partial 16S ribosomal RNA". It matches the Rfam family "Bacterial small subunit ribosomal RNA", at positions 524 to 776 of the family's 1533-position model. The record is from RNAcentral.
GACGAACUGUGCAAACGUUAUUCGGAAUCACUGGGCUUAAAGGGUGCGUAGGCGGUCCUCUAAGUAGGGUGUGAAAGCCCCCGGCUCAACCGGGGAACUGCGCCUUAAACUGAAGGGCUUGAGUGAGGUAGGGGUGUGUGGAACUUCCAGUGGAGCGGUGAAAUGUGUUGAUAUUGGAAGGAACGCCGGUGGCGAAAGCGACACACUGGACCUUGUCUGACGCUGAGGCACGAAAGCCAGGGGAGCAAACGGG